GUAAGUUGAAUUACCAUAGUUCCUCUGAAAGCUGCUUUGAGGAAAAGUCUUUUGGAAAGCAUGCUUUGGAGUGAAGUUGGAGGAACCCUGGUCCCUGUAAAUUUGUUGCCACUGAAGUUGCCAUGUGGCUGCCUAAUAGAAGACUCCUUCCUCUGACUCACGCUCAGGCUCAAUAGUCUUCUCCUCAGCUGCAAAGUGGACAUGCUUCUUCCCUGUGAGCAAGUUAUGAACCGAAUCCAGCUUAGCAUUCACCUCUGCCAUCUGAUUUUCUGAAAUAGUUCCAGCAAUCUUCUUCCUCUCAAAAUCAGCAUUCUUGGUACUGUUGCUGCAAGCAAGGUUCUCUAUCAGGGCUGUAGCAUCAGCUGGGUAACGUGUAUUGAAGUUAUCAUUGCUUGCUGCAUCUAGAGCCAUCUGGUAUCUCCAAUCAACUCCUCUGAAGAAGGUACCUAGAAGUUGUACCUCACUGAAACCAUGAUGUGGACAAUCUCGUUGGUACUCCUUGAAACAAACCCAAGCAGCCUUGAAAGCUUCAGCUGGACCUUGUGUGAAGGUAGACAGCUUGUUUCUCAACUCCUCAGACUAAGCAUCACUGUAGAAAUUGUUCAAGAAGGCUAUCUUGAUGCUUCUCCAAGUCUUGAGGGAACCUGCUUUAAGUUGCUUCAGCGAAGAAGUUGCUUCCCCAGCAAGUGAAUAAGGGAAGAGCUUGCAUAGUAGGUAGUCCUCUGAGACUCUAUUAGCCUUGAUGCUCAGAACAAGGUCCUCAAAUCGUUCGAUAUGAUCCAUUGGCUGCUCAUGAGAUAAGCCAUGGAAAGGAUGCUUGCCAACUAAAGCAAAGUAGCCAGGCUUCAGCUCAUAGUCGUUCUUCUAGAAUGGUGGGGGUACAAUCGCUGAUCGAUUAGCAUAGAACAGGUCUGGCCUGUUGAAAUCCCCAAGAUUACGACGUGGUUUCCCAGCUGGAGAUACCUAUGGCGGGCAUAUCUAUUGUCUGGAUUCAAGAUCUAGUUAAUUACUCUAGAUCUAGCAUUAGGUAUAAUUAAAGAUGAAGAAUUCUAUAGAUAACCUAGCAAAGGGGGCAAUCUACUAAACCAUAUGAAUCCCAAAUGAGAAACCCUAUUCCUAACAAGCAGAUUACUCAAGACAUAUCGGAUGAAACAAACAACAUAUUUGAGAUAAAAAGCAUAAACAUAGUAAAUAGAGAAGGGGAAAGAAGGGAUCUCUUCACUGUAUAUAGAUCUAAAUGAAACUCUGAAGAAUAAUCGAUGAAUAGCUUAUGUCUCUCACAAUAGAGUUUUGCAAAGAACUUUAUAAAAGACUUGAUAUAUGAAACUUAGGUCUAAAAACAAUAUAUAUAAACCCUAAAAACGUCCAGGGACUAAUAAUGCAAAUAGGGAAAUCUUCUGGGGCAAACUUGAGCUUUUGAAAACUCGAAAGCGUCUAGGGUUUUUGCUGGGCCGAAACUGGUGUCGAUCAACACCAACAGUGUGUCGGUCGACACUCUUCGCUGAUUCCUGAACCAAAAUUAUCCUUAGCUUCCUUUUCCUUAGCUUUUGCUUCAAAAUGUCUCCUUAUCUCCAUUGUUGUCCCACUGCAUAGAAUACCUGAAAAGACACUAAAAAGACUCGAAAAAUAACAUAAAGACCCAAAAUCCUAUACCUAAAACAUAGAUAAAAUCGGUGAAAAUCGGGUUAUAUCAGCGGUCGUUGCGCUGCCGGCGACUGAUAAGGUAGCGGGGAAGCGUGUUCGAACGGAUGACUCUUCGUCCAAGAAGAAGAAGUACAAAAGGAAGAAGCCCUCGAGCGACGAGGCGGAGAAGGAGCUCCCG
RNAcentral lists this small RNA (1822 nucleotides) under Arabidopsis thaliana (thale cress). RNAcentral's name for it is "ATSL031300". The stretch from base 467 to 573 matches the Rfam family "Plant small nucleolar RNA R71". Lineage: Eukaryota; Viridiplantae; Streptophyta; Magnoliopsida; Brassicales; Brassicaceae. The record is from RNAcentral.